This 31-nucleotide non-coding RNA is filed under the name Mus musculus (house mouse). The record is from RNAcentral. Lineage: Eukaryota; Metazoa; Chordata; Mammalia; Rodentia; Muridae.
UUCACGGACUUCAAAGACUAUUGUAGACAUG